Molecule: long non-coding RNA, 1855 nt
Organism: Phyllostomus discolor (pale spear-nosed bat)
Lineage: Eukaryota; Metazoa; Chordata; Mammalia; Chiroptera; Phyllostomidae
Exons: 2
Source: RefSeq, a predicted model, not a curated record
AUUUUCUCGCUGAACCUUAUUAUGGCAAAGCAUUUGAUUUUUCAUCUUUGUGCUCUGUUCAUCCCCACAAAUAAACUACUUUGACCUCCACCUGUUACUUAGUGAAAUCUGCCUGCCAUCCUUCAAUAACCCCAUUCUUUGCCUUCAAAGGCUUUUGAGUCACUGAGAAAGUGGGAAGAUAGAGUUGUGCAGUGAACUGAGCAAAUACCACUUUAUAACUAUGCAGCAGUUCAGAGUCGAAGCUGGAAGCUACAUGAUGAAAGGAAAUGGAUUUUUCUUUUUAAAGGCAAUGCCCAUGGAUAUUGGAAGGGGGCAACACAUUUCAUCAUUUUCACAUGAAAUUUUUCAUAGAAAGGGGUUGUCUCUUGAGCUGUUAUUUAAUGCAGAAAACCCCUGGCCCUUUCCUUAUAAGAAAGCCUCUCUAAAAUAGUCAUGACAUUAUUUCAGAUAUAUGAACCAACAGGUCCUUGCAAAGUGUACAAAUACUUCAAGUAGUACACUAUUCUGAUAUUUGGCAAAACAAAAUGAACCACUAACUUCAAAUGCAGCUUUUUGGGGGUCAUGCAAAAGGACCACACUUACCGAACACUAUGAAAACAAAAAAUAAUAAAUAAAAAGGGAAAUAACUGUACACAAUGGCAUGGGUCAUUUUUUGAAACACAAUAUCUGACAAAAUGUUUUUUUUAACAAUGACAUAUCAGAAAAAAUUCCUGUGUAAAGCUGCACUUUCCUGAUUAAUGCUACACUGAACAGAAGAGACAGUGUCUAAUUGUGCUGAAUACUUAUCUGAGUGGGAGUACAGGAUGUUUCUGCUCACUGUCGUUCUCUGUGACAACGUAAUGAUAGAUCCGUUUCCUUAUGAGUGCAAUUAUUAAAACCUGCACUGUUUUCUUAAGUGUCUCCAUAUCUUGGAUAAAUUAUAUAAAAAUUACUUAUCUGACACUAAGGGUAAAUGCUUAGUGAAGUUUUCAUAUCAAUUAAGUAAAUGAAUUCCAUUCAGUCACAGCCUUUGUGGAGGGUCUUAUUCAAGUUUGGUGAAACUGAAUUUCCACAAUCCUUUUAUAUUAGAGUUAAUGAUUCACCCUCUUUUCCCCUGUCUUCUUUGUACAAAUGCUAAAGUUUGGUGUUCGCUUCAACUAAAAAACUGCUCACAGCCGACAUUUUCUCUGGAGUCAUGAUUUAGCACUUCUCCUUCAUAUUCACACCUUUUUUUUGGAACCCAACACAGGAUCCAAUUUUAUACAGACAACACCCCACAGGCCAAUCAGAAUUGGUCGCUAGCAAUAACCAUCUUUUGCAGCAUUUUCUACUCAUAUAAUUAACUUUACCCAGAACCUAUUAGGGAAAGAUCUUCAUACAAGAUAAAAACAACAACAAUAGCACACCACUUUGGGCUCUACAUGAUAGCCUGCCAAUUCAAAGGAUUAUUUUCAUGCAUGCCUAAAGAGACAAAACAAGGUUCUUCUCUUUUUUCCCUUCCAUUUACUGACCUCAAAAUGACAACUGUCACCAACCCUGUCCUUAAAUGUGAAAACAGCCAAAUAUGGGUAUUGAAUGUAAGUUACUAAAUGCUCCCUCAAACAGAAUUUAUUUCUCUGGCUUUAGUCAAGACAACUAUCAAGCAGUCCAAGUAGCAGAUAAUGACAUUUAUAAUAAAUUACAUCUCUGUAAAAGUCUCCCAAUGUGUGGCUAGGACAUAAAUUUAUGUGACCCGAAAUGAUGCUUAUGUGCCAUAAAGACUUUUUUUAAAACUAAAGGCAUGUCAAGACUUCAAUGCUGAUGGACAAACUCACAAAAAUAUCAAGCACAUCAAAAGGGGAACAUUUUUGAGUCUUUUGAGGAUAAGAUUGCUUUU